UACGUAGGGCGCAAGCGUUGUCCGGAAUUAUUGGGCGUAAAGAGCUCGUAGGCGGCCUGUUACGUCUGCUGUGAAAUCCCGGGGCUCAACCCCGGGCGUGCAGUGGAUACGGGCUGGCUGGAGGCAGGCAGGGGAGAACGGAAUUCCUGGUGUAGCGGUGAAAUGCGCAGAUAUCAGGAGGAACACCGGUGGCGAAGGCGGUUCUCUGGGCCUGUACUGACGCUGAGGAGCGAAAGCGUGGGGAGCGAACAGG
Molecule: ribosomal RNA, 253 nt
Filed under: uncultured bacterium
Lineage: Bacteria
Description: partial 16S ribosomal RNA
Rfam family: Bacterial small subunit ribosomal RNA
Source: RNAcentral